UCGGGCGACACGCCGAAUCCUGCCCCGGCCGACGGAAGUCAAACCAAUGGCAGGAGCGGGGGAACCAAUUUUUGCGGGCGUCGCUCAUCGGACGUCCUUGGGGUGAAGCCGCGGAACGCGGCCGGGCAGUCCCAGCCCGAACCCGACAGCUCACCUCGCAGGCGUGGGGAAGGACAUCA
This 179-nucleotide small RNA is filed under the name unidentified. RNAcentral describes it as "Frankia symbiont c-di-AMP sequence". It matches the Rfam family "c-di-AMP riboswitch aptamer (ydaO/yuaA leader)". Rfam says of the family: This family represents a conserved RNA structure found upstream of the ydaO and yuaA genes in Bacillus subtilis and related genes in other bacteria. The ydaO/yuaA element is thought to act as a genetic "off" switch for the ydaO and yuaA genes in its native state. The record is from RNAcentral.